Molecule: ribosomal RNA, 495 nt
Filed under: uncultured bacterium
Lineage: Bacteria
Description: bacterial SSU rRNA
Rfam family: Bacterial small subunit ribosomal RNA
Source: RNAcentral
UGAACGCUGGCGGCGUGCCUAACACAUGCAAGUCGAGCGGGGUUAUUGGGGUUCAGCUUGCUGAACGCCACUGACCCAGCGGCGGACGGGUGAGUAACGCGUGAGCAAUCUGCCUCAUACAGGGGGAUAACAGGCGGAAACGCCUGCUAAUACCGCAUAAGACCACGCCACCGUAUGGUGGAGCGGUCAAAGGGUGGACAGACGAGAGGCUGUGCAUACCGGUAUGAGAUGAGCUCGCGUCCCAUUAGCUUGUUGGUGAGGUAACGGCUCACCAAGGCGACGAUGGGUAGCCGACCUGAGAGGGUGAUCGGCCACACUGGGACUGAGACACGGCCCAGACUCCUACGGGAGGCAGCAGUGGGGAAUAUUGCGCAAUGGGGGGAACCCUGACGCAGCAACGCCGCGUGAGCGAAGAAGGCCUUCGGGUCGUAAAGCUCUGUCAUAGGGGAAGAGGAGAAGACGGUACCCUAUGAGGAAGCCCCGGCUAACUACGUG